AGAGUUUGAUCCUGGCUCAGGAUGAACGCUAGCGGCAGGCUUAACACAUGCAAGUCGAGGGGUAAGUCCCGCUCCGGCGGGAACACGACCGGCGAACGGGUGAGUAACGCGUAUGCAACCUGCCUGUAACCGGGCCAUAGCCCCGAGAAAUCGGGAUUAAUAGCCCAUAUUAUCCCUUAGUCGCAUGACUUCGGGAUGAAAGCUCCGGCGGUUACAGAUGGGCAUGCGUGACAUUAGCUUGUUGGUGAGGUGAAAGCUCACCAAGGCGACGAUGUCUAGGGGGUCUGAGAGGAUGAUCCCCCACACUGGUACUGAGACACGGACCAGACUCCUACGGGAAGCAGCAGUGAGGAAUAUUGCGCAAUGGAGGAAACUCUGACGCAGCCAUGCCGCGUGCAGGAUGACAGCCCUACGGGUUGUAAACUGCUUUUCUGCAGGAAGAACCUUCCGUACGUGUACGGAACUGACGGUACUGCAGGAAUAAGCAUCGGCUAACUCCGUGCCAGCAGCCGCGGUAAUACGGAGGAUGCAAGCGUUAUCCGGAUUCAUUGGGUUUAAAGGGUGCGCAGGCGGACCUGUAAGUCAGGGGUGAAAGCCUCCCGCUUAACGGGAGAUUGGCCUUUGAUACUGCAGGUCUUGAGUCUAGCUGAGGUAGGCGGAAUGUAGUAUGUAGCGGUGAAAUGCAUAGAUAUACUACAGAACACCCAUUGCGAAGGCAGCUUACCAAGCUAGCACUGACGCUCAGGCACGAAAGCGUGGGUAGCAAACAGGAUUAGAUACCCUGGUAGUCCACGCCGUAAACGUUGAUCACUCGUUGUUGGCAAUACA
RNAcentral lists this ribosomal RNA (828 nucleotides) under uncultured bacterium. RNAcentral's name for it is "bacterial SSU rRNA". It matches the Rfam family "Bacterial small subunit ribosomal RNA", at positions 8 to 833 of the family's 1533-position model. The record is from RNAcentral.